RNAcentral lists this ribosomal RNA (253 nucleotides) under uncultured bacterium. RNAcentral describes it as "partial 16S ribosomal RNA". It matches the Rfam family "Bacterial small subunit ribosomal RNA", at positions 524 to 776 of the family's 1533-position model. The record is from RNAcentral.
UACGGAGGGUGCAAGCGUUAUCCGGAUUCACUGGGUUUAAAGGGUGCGUAGGAGGGCAGGUAAGUCAGUGGUGAAAUCUUCGAGCUUAACUCGGAAACUGCCGUUGAUACUAUCUGUCUUGAAUACCGUGGAGGUGAGCGGAAUAUGUCAUGUAGCGGUGAAAUGCUUAGAUAUGACAUAGAACACCAAUUGCGAAGGCAGCUCGCUACACGAAUAUUGACUCUGAGGCACGAAAGCGUGGGGAUCAAACGGG